CCUACGGGUGGCAGCAGUGGGGGAUAUUGCACAAUGGGGGAAACCCUGAUGCAGCGACGCCGCGUGUGGGAAGACGGUCUUCUGGAUUGUAAACCACUGUUCCCAGGGACGAAAAUGACGGUCCCUGGGGAGGCAGCUCCGGCUAACUACGUGCCAGCAGCCGCGGUAAUACGUAGGGAGCCAGCGUUGUCCGGAAUUACUGGGUGUAAAGGGAGCGUAGGCGGGGAUGAAAGUUGGGUGUCAAAACUACCGGCUCAACCGAUAGUCGCAGUCGAAACUGCAGGUCUUGAGUGAAGUAGAGGCAGGCGGAAUGCGUGGUGUAGCGGUGAAAUGCGUAGAUAUUAGGAAGAACACCGGUGGCGAAGGCGGCCUGCUGGGCUUUUACUGACGCUGAGGCUCGAAAGUGUGGGGAGCAAACAGGAUUAGAUACCCCAGUAGUC
RNAcentral lists this ribosomal RNA (440 nucleotides) under uncultured bacterium. Its description in RNAcentral is "partial 16S ribosomal RNA". It matches the Rfam family "Bacterial small subunit ribosomal RNA", at positions 338 to 795 of the family's 1533-position model. The record is from RNAcentral.